Herpailurus yagouaroundi (jaguarundi) is the source of this 337-nucleotide long non-coding RNA. RefSeq lists it as uncharacterized. NCBI's taxonomy places the organism in Eukaryota, Metazoa, Chordata, Mammalia, Carnivora, Felidae. The record is from RefSeq and is a predicted model, not a curated record. The transcript is spliced from 2 exons.
GGAACCCACGAACUGCCAGAUCAUGAUCUGAGAGCCGAAGUCCGAGGCCCAACCAGACUGAGCCACCCAGGCGCCCCAAGUCGGUGGUCAUUUUUUAAGCGGAAGGUUAUCAUCGUAGGAGGUCCAUACCUACAAAGUGACAUACCUUCUCAACCGUGCUCCCUUUUGCCUGCUGCACAAAGGCUGACACAGAAAGAAGGAAAGAAAGAAGAGACACCCAAAUCUAGCACACCGACCACGUAAUUUCUUCUCGUGUUCCUAGUCUGUUGCCCUGUGUCGUUAUGUGCCCUUUUAUGGGUCCCCUCAGGUCCCGACAGAAAUAGCAAGAUGUCAUCUC